AUUUAAAUCCCCUAUCGAGGAUCAACUGAAGGGCAAGUCUGGUGCCAGCAGCCGCGGUAAUUCCAGCUUCAGUAGCGUAUAUUAAAGUUGUUGCAGUUAAAAAGCUCGUAGUCGCAUUUCUGGCGAGAGGAAUUGGUCCGACAUUUAUUGUGGGUACUCGAUUCUCUCUCGCCAUCCUUGAGUGGUCCGUUCUGGCAUUUAGUUGUCGGAGCGUCAGCCGCUCAUCGUUUACUGUGAGAAAAUUAGAGUGUUCAAAGCAGGCUUAUGCCGUUGAAUAUAUUAGCAUGGAAUAAUAAGAUAGGACCUCGGUGCUAUUUUGUUGGUUUGCGCACAGAGGUAAUGAUGAACAGGGACAGUUGGGGGUAUUUGUAUUUCGUUGUCAGAGGUGAAAUUCUUAGAUUUACGAAAGACAAACUACUGCGAAAGCAUUUACCAAGGAUGUUUUCAUUGAUCAAGAACGAAAGUAUGGGGAUCGAAGAUGAUUAGAUACCAUCGUAGUCUAUACCAUAAACUAUGCCGACUCAGGAUGGGCGGGUGUUGUAUGACCUCGUCUGCACUGUAUGAGAAAUCAAAGUCUUUGGGUUCCGGGGGGAGUAUGGUCGCAAGGCUGAAACUUAAAGAAAUUGACGGAAGGGCACCACCAGGAGUGGAACCUGCGGCUUAAUUUGACCCAACACGGGAAAACUUAUCAGGUCCAGACAUAGUGAGGAUUGACAGAUUGAGAGCUCUUUCUUGAUUCUGUGGGUGGUGGUGCAUGGCCGUUCUUAGUUGGUGGAGUGAUUUGUCUGGUUAAUUCCGUUAACGAACGAGACCGCAGCCUGCUAAAUAAUCACAGUAAUGAUUUUUCAUUGCUGAUGGUUUCUUAGAGGGACAUGUAGUAUAAAACUACAGGAAGAUUGCAGCAAUAACAGGUCUGUGAUGCCCUUAGAUGUUCUGAACCGCACGCGUGUUACACUGACGCAUUCAACGAGCAUAUAACCUUAGCCGAGAGGCUUGGGCAAUCUUGUUAACCUGCGUCGUGAUAGGGAUAGAUUAUUGCAAUUAUUAAUCUUGAACGAGGAAUUCCUAGUAAACGCACAUCAUCAAUGUGCAUUGAUUACGUCCCUGCCCUUUGUACACACCGCCCGUCGCACCUACCGAUUGAGUGGUCCGGUGAACCCUCGAGAUUGUGAUUAAUUUCUUUUAUUAGAAUUUGAUUGU
This 1200-nucleotide ribosomal RNA is filed under the name metagenome. RNAcentral describes it as "SSU rRNA". It matches the Rfam family "Eukaryotic small subunit ribosomal RNA", at positions 523 to 1748 of the family's 1831-position model. The record is from RNAcentral.